Molecule: ribosomal RNA, 209 nt
Filed under: uncultured bacterium
Lineage: Bacteria
Description: partial 16S ribosomal RNA
Rfam family: Bacterial small subunit ribosomal RNA
Source: RNAcentral
UUCGGAUUGUAGUCUGNAACCCGACUACAUGAAGCCGGAAUCGCUAGUAAUCGCGGAUCAGCAAGCCGCGGUGAAUACGUUCCCGGGCCUUGUACACACCGCCCGUCACACCAUGAGAGUCGGGAACACCCGAAGUCCGUAGUCUAACCGCAAGGAGGGCGCGGCCGAAGGUGGGUUCGAUAAUUGGGGUGAAGUCGUAACAAGGUAUC